CGGCCAUUCACCCCUGCUCCCGACUUCCCUUCCAUUCCUUAGGUACGUCCACCGCACCCAGUCCGCCUAAUUCGGCCGUCUCUAUGCAGCUUAGCAUUUCUUUCUUGUCUGUCGUCGAAAUUCCGCUAGCGGUCUGGCUGGCGAGAUGCUGCUUGCUGUCAAGGCUUGUCUCGAUGCUGCUGCUUGCUGAAUUCCGAGGGUGAUUAGUGAUCUUGGCAGGGGGAGAAUUGGUGUUUUGUUUAGCUAGUUCAGUUUAAGGAGGAGUGCGUAUGUAGGAGAUCUUCAGUGCUUUGUCUUAUAUCACCAUUCACGUGGGUGAAGCAUAAUCUAGUCUGUAUCAUGAAAGGUUAAUUUUGCUACCGCUGGUUGGAUUUUGGGGCCUGCAACAGUUUACAUCUAGACAUUUUUCUCCAUUUUUGCAUUUUAUUUUUACAUCAUCUCCGUUUGCCUGUAUAUAUACCUAGAUGUGCUAAUAAUCAGUUUGAUUGUAUCAUUUCAACUAGUUAAAAUUGUCCCAGUUCAUCUAGUUAAAUUGUCUUAGUUCCACUAUAUUUACUCUGCCAAGAAAAGUCAAAAUAUUAGUUAAUCAUGCUUCCAUUUCCUGCAAACAAAAAAUGGUCUCUGAAGAUUAUGUCUUUCCCCUUGCAUAAUAACACAUGGAAUUACUUCUACAAACCCGGUUAGUGUGAGCGACAAAAUGGAAAUCAAAGUACAUAAGGAAAAGAAUUCUGCACCGUGUAUCAACCACCAAGCCACUCACAUUUGUUAAAGAUGGACUUCUAUCGCAUAAACAACAAUAUCGGGCAUUCAGGAUCUUGUCCAUCGUCCUUGAAUCAUUAAAUCACACACACACAUGCUAGUAGGUAGCCCUCUUAAAAAGUGAGUUUAUUCCUACAUAUAUGUACUAGUGACACUACUCUUGCAUAAAAUUUCUCCUUUCGCAAAAAGUAGUUUGUGCAAAAAAGAAGCAAAAGUCAUGUUUACCUGGUCUGCAAAAAUGAUGCUUGCUAGGUGUUUGUUCUAAUGCCUAUGUGAACAGAACACUUUUAUUUCUUGUUUUCUUUAUACUGAGAAGAAAACUUGUGAAGGUUUAGGGAAACAGAAGGGCUCACCAACAAAAGCCACUAAAAGUGUUUAGAAUAAUAUUGGGGAGGAUCAAGUGCAAGAAUACAAAAAGUUUAGAGUUGAGAAAGCGGAACUAGAAAAGUUCAUAGGCCUCUCCUGUUCAUAAACGCAUGCCGCUGGCCACUAGAGAUGUGCGGCCGCCAUUGCCCAUCCAAAAUCACAGUGCCUAUCGAGUUUCUUUGUCAAAAGCUUGCAUCGAUGGCUAACUCCGUACUAUUACUUUACCUACUAUUAUGCUAAUGUUGUACUGGUGCUCUUGCUUAUUAAGGCAUGCAUCAAUAGUCAAUCUUGAACUCGAUGUGCUAUUCUAUGUUCGGGGACUGGAGCGUUUCUUUAAUGGACGUGUUCUUUGGCUGAGGAUGUCAACGUUAUGUUGUUUUCAUACUUUCAACAAAAAUAUCUAUAAGUUCAAAAUGUAUAACCCUAUAAGUUCAUUGAAAAACAGAAACAAAAAAAAUAGUGCAUGAGCAAGUAGCCGCCCCGCACUAGACAUCAACGUUAUGAUGUUUUCAUACUUUCAGCUCACAUUGUAGCUUUUUUUCAGUUCAAUGGAUUCCAAAAAGGAAAAAACUGUGGAUGGGUGAUGAAUCAACUUCCUAUACUGUUGUGCCAUGAGCAUUGGACGACCCCGACCACCGGCACCACUGCUUCCCGACCUCCUGCUUGCAUCGCCAUCUCCCGGUGGGGCUCUGCCGCUGGAGCACCCUGGCCGUUCACAGCCACCACUCCAGGCCGGUCAACGCCACCACCCCAGGCUGUUCAUUGCCAGCAGCACCCUGGAUCCCACCCCUCACCCUAGGAUUUUUAGUUAUCGAGUGAGUUAAAGUCCAACUUGAGCUUUCAGUCCAUGUGUCGUUUGCUGUUGUGGCCGGUCUCCAGGUACAUAGUGAUGUUCCUAUUCAUGCAUCUAGUGCUGCUCCGUUAAAUCACUUGUUCAUCUUGUUUGUUCCAACCACGCUGGAUGCCUAGUACUAGUAGCUUGCACUAGCCUAUACAUGAGCAUCUCAAGCCGUUGUUAAUAGAUGUGAGUAGUACUGAUUGUUUUGAUUGAGUUGGCGUCUCAGAUUAUACUGGAGCAUGUGUUUUCACAAAGAGUUUAGGUUCCAGAUUGCCAAAAGUUCGAAGAUAGUGAGAUGCAUGGGAAGCUACCAGACAGAGAUGAUAUUGGACAAAGGGCUGCACAACCGUCCAAGUCGAGCACAUACAACAGUCCAAGGUGACGCAUGAUCACUGAUAGAUUCUACAUCUUUUUAUUAGUAUGAUAAUUCAGCCCACACACCACGCACCACAUCCCGAGCCCCGAUCCAGCGCCGCCCCUGCUUCCAUCCGCCGCCGCCGCCGCCGUCGCUAGUCCCCUGCCCAGCGCGCGGGGGCCCUUCGCGUCCCAUCUCCGGCGACGAGCCGCCCCUGCUGGACCCCGAGCGCGGCCGCCCCUCCGACUAUGCCGACUUCGUCAGUCCGUCAGUUCGCCAGUGGGAACCGCAAGUCAGGACCCCAUCUUCCACCCCGCCUCCCACCUCCCGGCCGCCGCGCGCCUCCCACCCUCCGGCCGCCGCGCACCUCCCUUCCCCGACACCGCGCGCCUCCCACCUCCCGGCCGCCGCGCGCCUCCGUUCCCCGGCUGCCGCGCGCCUCCCUUCCCCGGCCACCGCGCGCCUCCCUUCCCCUGCCGCCGCACACUGUCGACGGCGGCGCGCCUCAUUUCAUCUCUCCAUGGCUCCGUGCUCACCUCGACGGUGCCGUGGAUGCAGUGGUGCUACUGCAUCGCCUCCUUCCCGUGCUUACAGGUUGGCCUCCUCCUUAGCCACUUCUGCCCCGAGGAGGACAACAUCCAGCACAGACCGUUCACCGCCACUACCCCGGGCAGUUCACCACUGUCACCCUCGGCCAUUAACCCCCGCUCCCGACUUCCCUUCCAUUCCUCAGGUACGUGCACCGCACCCAGUCCGCCCAAUUCGGCCGUCUCUAUGCAGCUUAGCAUUUCUUUCUUGUCUGUCGUCAAAAUUCCGCUAGCGGUCUGGCUGGCGAGAUGCUGCUUGCUUUCAAGGCUUGUCUCGAUGCUACUGCUUGCUGAAUUCUGAGAGCGAUUAGUGAUCUUGGCAGGGGGAGAAUUGGUGUUUUGUUUAGCCAGUUCUGUUUAAGGAGGAGUGCGUAUGUAGGAGAUCUUCAGUGCUUUGUCUUAUAUCACCAUUCACGUGGGUGAAGCAUAAUCUAGUCUGUAUCAUGAAAGGUUAAUUUUGCUACCGCUGGUUGGAUUUUGGGGCCUGCAACAGUUUACAUCUAGACAUUUUUCUCCAUUUUUGCAUUUUAUUUUUACAUCAUCUCCGUUUGCCUGUAUAUAUACCUAGAUGUGCUAAUAAUCAGUUUGAUUGUAUCAUUUCAACUAGUUAAAAUUGUCUCAGUUCAUCUAGUUAAAUUGUCUUAGUUCCACUAUAUUUACUCUGCCAAGAAAAGUCAACAUAUUAGUUAAUCAUGCUUCCAUUUCCUGCAAACAAAAAAUGGUCUCUGAAGAUUAUGUCUUUCCCCUUGCAUAAUAACACAUGGAAUUACUUCUACAAACCCGGUUAGUGUGAGCGACAAAAUGGAAAUCAAAGUACAUAAGGAAAAGAAUUCUGCACCGUGUAUCAACCACCAAGCCACUCACAUUUGUUAAAGAUGGACUUCUGUCGCAUAAACAACAAUAUCGGGCAUUCAGGAUCUUGUCCAUCGUCCUUGAAUGAUUAAAUCACACACACACAUGCUAGUAGGUAGCCCUCUUAAAAAGUGAGUUUAUUCCUACAUAUAUGUACUAGUGACACUACUCUUGCAUAAAAUUUCUCCUUUCGCAAAAAGUAGUUUGUGCAAAAAAGAAGCAAAAGUCAUGUUUACCUGGUCUGCAAAAAUGAUGCUUGCUAGGUGUUUGUUCUAAUGCCUAUGUGAACAGAACACUUUUAUUUCUUGUUUUCUUUAUACUGAGAAGAAAACUUGUGAAGGUUUAGGGAAACAGAAGGGCUCACCAACAAAAGCCACUAAAAAUGUUUAGAAUAAUAUUGGGGAGGAUCAAGUGCAAGAAUACAAAAAGUUCAGAGUUGAGAAAGCGGAAAAGUUCAUAGGCCUCUCCUGUUCACAAACGCAUGCCGCUGGCCACUAGAGAUGUGCGGCCGCCAUUGCCCAUCCAAAAUCACAGUGCCUAUCGAGUUUCUUUGUCAAAAGCUUGCAUCGAUGGCUAACUCCGUACUAUUACUUUACCUACUAUUAUGCUAAUGUUGUACUGGUGCUCUUGCUUAUUAAGGCAUGCAUCAAUAGUCAAUCUUGAACUCGAUGUGCUAUUCUAUGUUCGGGGACUGGAGCGUUUCUUUAAUGGACGUGUUCUUUGGCUGAGGAUGUCAACGUUAUGUUGUUUUCAUACUUUCAACAAAAAUAUCUAUAAGUUCAAAAUGUAUAACCCUAUAAGUUCAUUGAAAAACAGAAACAAAAAAAUAGUGCAUGAGCAAGUAGCCGCCCCGCCCUAGACAUCAACGUUAUGAUGUUUUCAUACUUUCAGCUCACAUUGUAGCUUUUUUCAGUUCAAUGGAUUCCAAAAAGGAAAAAACUGUGGAUGGGUGAUGAAUCAACUUCCUAUACUGUUGUGCCAUGAGCAUUGGACGACCCCGACCACCGGCACCACUGCUUCCCGACCUCCUGCUUGCAUCGCCAUCUCCCGGUGGGGCUCUGCCGCUGGAGCACCCUGGCCGUUCACAGCCACCACUCUAGGCCGGUCAACGCCACCACCCCAGGCUGUUCAUUGCCAGCAGCACCCUGGAUCCCACCCCUCACCCUAGGAUUUUUAGUUAUCGAGUGAGUUAAAGUCCAACUUGAGCUUUCAGUCCAUGUGUCGUUUGCUGUUGUGGCCGGUCUCCAGGUACAUAGUGAUGUUCCUAUUCAUGCAUGUAGUGCUGCUCCGUUAAAUCACUUGUUCAUCUUGUUUGUUCCAACCACGCUGGAUGCCUAGUACUAGUAGCUUGCACUAGCCUAUACAUGAGCAUCUCAAGCCGUUGUUAAUAGAUGUGAGUAGUACUGAUUGUUUUGAUUGAGUUGGCGUCUCAGAUUAUACUGGAGCAUGUGUUUUCACAAAGAGUUUAGGUUCCAGAUUGCCAAAAGUUCGAAGAUAGUGAGAUGCAUGGGAAGCUACCAGACAGAGAUGAUAUUGGACAAAGGGCUGCACAACCGUCCAAGUCGAGCACAUACAACAAUCCAAGGUGACGCAUGAUCACUGAUAGAUUCUACAUCUUUUUAUUAGUAUGAUAAUUCAGCCCACACACCACGCACCACAUCCCGAGCCCCGAUCCAGCGCCGCCCCUGCUUCCAUCCGCCGCUGCCGCCGCCGUCGCUAGUCCCCUGCCCAGCGCGCGGGGGCCCUUCGCGUCCCAUCUCCGGCGACGAGCCGCCUCUGCUGGACCCCUAGCGCGGCCGCCCCUCCGACUAUGCCAACUUCGUCAGUCCGUCAGUUCGCCAGUGGGAACCGCAAGUCAGGACCCCGUCUUCCACCCCGCCUCCCACCUCCCGGCCGCCGCGCGCCUCCCACCCUCCGGCCGCCGCGCGCCUCCCUUCCCCGACACCGCGCGCCUCCCACCUCCCGGCCGCCGCGCGCCUCCGUUCCCCGGCUGCCGCGCGCCUCCCUUCCCCGGCCACCGCGCGCCUCCCUUCCCCUGCCGCCGCACACUGUCGAAGGCGGCGCGCCUCAUUUCAUCUCUCCAUGGCUCCGUGCUCACCUCGACGGUGCCGUGGAUGCAGUGGUGCUACUGCAUCGCCUCCUUCCUGUGCUUACAGGUUGGCCUCCUCCUUAGCCACUUCUGCCCCGAGGAGGACAACAUCCAGCACAGACCGUUCACCGCCACUACCCCGGGCAGUUCACCACUGUCACCCUCGGCCAUUAACCCCCGCUCCCGACUUCCCUUCCAUUCCUCAGGUACGUGCACUGCACCCAGUCCGCCCAAUUCGGCCGUCUCUAUGCAGCUUAGCAUUUCUUUCUUGUCUGUCGUCAAAAUUCCGCUAGCGGUCUGGCUGGCGAGAUGCUGCUUGCUUUCAAGGCUUGUCUCGAUGCUACUGCUUGCUGAAUUCCGAGAGCGAUUAGUGAUCUUGGCAGGGGGAGAAUUGGUGUUUUGUUUAGCCAGUUCUGUUUAAGGAGGAGUGCGUAUGUAGGAGAUCUUCAGUGCUUUGUCUUAUAUCACCAUUCACGUGGGUGAAGCAUAAUCUAGUCUGUAUCAUGAAAGGUUAAUUUUGCUACCGCUGGUUGGAUUUUGGGGCCUGCAACAGUUUACAUCUCGACAUUUUUCUCCAUUAUUGCAUUUUCUUUUUACACCAUCUCCGUUUGCCUGUAUAUAUACCUAGAUGUGCUAAUAAUCA
This 6489-nucleotide long non-coding RNA is filed under the name Triticum aestivum (bread wheat). RNAcentral describes it as "long non-coding RNA (TAES_LNC011048)". Lineage: Eukaryota; Viridiplantae; Streptophyta; Magnoliopsida; Poales; Poaceae. The record is from RNAcentral.